CAUCCAUCAUCUUAUACAGGUAAACGGAAAGAGAACGGAAAAUCGGACUCACUUCCUCGACAUCUUAUCUUUUGCCUGUGAAUAUACCGCUUGCGACACGUACAGUUCAAUCCUCGUUCUCUUUAAAUUUCCGAUCCGCCUCUCUCUCAACCAAUUGAGCCAUUCAAUCAGGCGACCCAGAACAUUCAAGCAAAAAAACUGCCCGUUAUAUAGCUUCAAUAAUACAAUACAACACCUCAAUUGCAAAACAGGGGAACGUACUACACCGCCACAAGCCGCUGGCGGAAAAGUCCCUCUCUAUCUACCCAAGCGGUCCCCAAAAGCGAAAGCCAACCCCUAAUUAUCUCCUCAAUAUCCAAUAAAAAGGGAAUAAAGAAACCAAACAAAAAGGGCCUACAAGAACAAAAAAUGUCCAUUCCCCUCCACACCAUAACCAGCCUCCGCACGACCUUCUCCCCCUUCAGCCGCCUCUCAAAACCCUGCCGCCUCUUCGUCUCCCUCCUCCAAAACCCUGCGACCGCCUCACCCGCCUCCCCUUCACACAUCAAAAUCGACAUCACGCACCUACCACGCGACUCCAAGCAGCUGCCGGAGAUGACGGUAGGGUUUAAGGGGG
Molecule: small RNA, 616 nt
Filed under: Histoplasma ohiense
Lineage: Eukaryota; Fungi; Ascomycota; Eurotiomycetes; Onygenales; Ajellomycetaceae
Description: hypothetical lncRNA
Source: RNAcentral